Molecule: long non-coding RNA, 200 nt
Organism: Ochotona curzoniae (black-lipped pika)
Lineage: Eukaryota; Metazoa; Chordata; Mammalia; Lagomorpha; Ochotonidae
Exons: 3
Source: RefSeq, a predicted model, not a curated record
CGUCAGGCCACUUUGCUGAGUCUUGUGUCACCAUGUGAAUUAAGUAUUUUUCCUGUUUCUUAGAAGACAAUCACUAGAAGUUUCACAGAUUGCUCUGAAUCUGUAAUCAGCUUGCUUGGGGUGAGAUGCACACUUUGCAUAUAUUAACAUCUACUCCAUAACAAUAGGUUGUCACCUCUGUGUGUGUGUGUGUGUGUGUG